UUUUUUGAGAAUUUGAUCCUGGUUCAGGAUGAAUGCUGGCGGCGUGGCUUAGGCAUGCAAGUCGAACGGGAGAGUCGCAUGACAAUCAAGUGGCAGACGGGUGAGUAACGCGUAGGAAUCGACCCCAGAGCGGAGGAUAGCUCAUCGAAAGAUGGGGUAAUACUCCAUAGUCCCGCAAGGGUAAAGGGCUUAACGGCCCGCUUCGGGAGGAGCCUGCGUCCCAUCAGCUAGUUGGCGGAGUAAUAGCCCACCAAGGCGAUGACGGGUAGCUGGACUGAGAGGUCGGUCAGCCACAACUGCACUGAGACACGGGCAGUACACCUACGGGUGGCAGCAACUGGGAAUAUUCGGCAAUGGACGAAAGUCUGACCGAGCGACGCCGCGUGGAG
RNAcentral lists this ribosomal RNA (389 nucleotides) under bacterium. RNAcentral's name for it is "bacterial SSU rRNA". It matches the Rfam family "Bacterial small subunit ribosomal RNA", at positions 1 to 406 of the family's 1533-position model. The record is from RNAcentral.